This 1972-nucleotide ribosomal RNA is filed under the name Odoribacter splanchnicus. Its description in RNAcentral is "partial 23S ribosomal RNA". It matches the Rfam family "Bacterial large subunit ribosomal RNA", at positions 1 to 1977 of the family's 2925-position model. Lineage: Bacteria; Pseudomonadati; Bacteroidota; Bacteroidia; Bacteroidales; Odoribacteraceae. The record is from RNAcentral.
AUAAAUUAAAGUAAAUAAUAAAGGGCGUAUGGUGGAUGCCUAGGCUCUCAGAGGCGAAGAAGGACGUGAUAAGCUGCGAAAAGCUCCGUUUAGGUGCAAAUAACCUUUGAUGCGGAGAUCUCCGAAUGGGAUAACCCAAUAUGUUGAAGACAUAUUAUACCGUAAGGUAGGCAAACGCAGGGAACUGAAACAUCUAAGUACCUGCAGGAGAAGAAAACAAACGUGAUUCCCCCAGUAGCGGCGAGCGACCGGGGAAAAGCCCAAACCGUUAUUGUUUCGGCAUUAACGGGGUAGUAGGACUGCGACAUUGAUGAAAUAAAUGAAAUGGAACACCUUGGAAAAUGUGAUCACAGAGGGUGAUAAUCCCGUACAUGCAAGUUUAUGAAUCAUAGCAGACUCCUGAGUAAGUCGGGACACGUGUAAUCCUGACCGAAUCCGCCGGGACCAUCCGGCAAGGCUAAAUACUCCUGAGAGACCGAUAGUGAACCAGUACCGUGAGGGAAAGGUGAAAAGCACUUCGAACAGAAGAGUGAAAUAGUCCCUGAACCCAUACGCCUACAAGCUGUCGGAGCCGCUUCGUGCGGUGACGGCGUGCCUUUUGCAUAAUGAGCCUACGAGUUACUCAUCACCAGCGAGGUUAAGUACUUCAGGUACGUAAGCCGAAGCGAAAGCGAGUCUGAAUAGGGCGUCAAGUUGGUGGUGGUAGACGCGAAACCUUAGUGAUCUACCCAUGGGCAGGGUGAAGGUUUGGUAACACAAACUGGAGGCCCGAACCGGUAAACGUUGAAAAGUUUUCGGAUGACCUGUGGGUAGGGGUGAAAGGCCAAUCAAACUGGGAAAUAGCUCGUACUCUCCGAAAUGCAUUUAGGUGCAGCCUCUGUUGUUUUGUUCUAGAGGUAGAGCUACUGAUUGGAUGCGAGGGCUUCACCGCCUAUCAAAUCCGGCCAAACUCCGAAUGCUAGAACAUGAAGACAGGGAGUGAGCCAGCGGGUGCUAAGGUCCGUUGACGAAAGAGGGAGAACUCAGACCAUCAGCUAAGGUCCCCAAUUGUAUGCUAAGUUGGAAUUAAAACGGGGUGGGACUGCUUAGACAGCUAGGAUGUUGGCUUGGAAGCAGCCAUUCAUUUAAAGAGUGCGUAACAGCUCACUAGUCGAGCGGUCCUGCAUGGAUAAUACGCGGGCAUAAGCAUAUAACCGAAGCUAUGGGAUUGUAGAUGAUACAAUCGGUAGGAGAGCAUUCCAUUCAGCGUAGAAGCAGUACCGUGAGGUAUUGUGGAGCGGAUGGAAAAGCAAAUGUAGGCAUAAGUAACGAUAAUGCGGGUGAGAACCCCGCACGCCGAAAGAUCAAGGAUUCCCCGGCAAUGUCAAUCAUCCGGGGGUAAGUCGGAUCCUAAGGGUAAGCCGAGUGGCGAUCCCGAUGGCAAACAGGUUAAUAUUCCUGUACUGAUCAUAACUGCGAUGCAGCGACGCAGAGGUGACACUGCUGCGUACUGACGGAAUAGUACGUUGAAACCCGUAUUCUUUGAUACCGGUAGUGAAGCACGCCGGUAGAGAUGAAAGGUGAUAGUACCGCAAUGCUUCGGUUGCGCGGAUAACGCAGGUAAGCUGACUGCCAAGAAAACCUGCUAAGCUUCAGGUAAUGAUCAUCCGUACUGUAAACGGACACACGUGAUCAGGUAGAAAAUACUAAGGCGCUCGAGAGAUUCAUGGUUAAGGAACUAGGCAAAAUGGUCCUGUAACUUCGGGAUAAAGGACGCUCUUGUGAAAGAGCCGCAGAUAAUAGGCCCAGGCGACUGUUUACCAAAAACACAUGGCUAUGCUAAUUCGCAAGAAGAUGUAUAUGGCCUGACACCUGCCCGGUGCCGGAAGGUUAAGAGGAGAGCUCAGAGGCAACUCGAAGGUUUGAAUUGAAGCCCCGGUAAACGGCGGCCGUAACUAUAACGGUCCUAAGGUAGCGAAAUUCCUUGUCGGGU